Molecule: ribosomal RNA, 1193 nt
Filed under: Argas walkerae
Lineage: Eukaryota; Metazoa; Arthropoda; Arachnida; Ixodida; Argasidae
Description: 16S ribosomal RNA
Rfam family: Archaeal large subunit ribosomal RNA (bases 945-1103)
Source: RNAcentral
UUAUGUUAGAAAAUGGAUUAUUAAUGAAAAAAGGUUUUUUAAGUUAGUAUUGUGAUAAAUUUUAUUAUUAUUCUAUAGAGUAUAGUACUGAGAAGGAAGAAAAAUUUAAUAUUGGAAAAGCAUUUAAAUUACCUUUUGCAUAAGGGUUUAUUUAAAAUAAUAAAGAAUUUUUUUUUCCCGAAACUUAAUGAGCUAUUUUUAUAAAAAUUAUGUGUUUCAGAAUAUAAUUGUAUAUAGAAAUAGAAAUGAAAUUUUAUUCAAAUUGAGAGAUAUCUGGUUAAAAUAACUUAAUUAAAUAUUAUCAUUAAAGUAUAAAUUAUAUAUAGUGCUUUAAAUGUAAUAAUUUACGGGAUAAGCUGUAAAUUUUCUUAUAAAUAUAAGAAGGUUUUAAUUAAGGUUUAAAAUUUACUGUGAUUUGUUAAAAAAACUUAUUUAUUUUUUUUUUUAAUUAGUUAAGGAGAUUGUUAUUUUAAAAAAUAUUUUUUAAAAGAAAUUAUAAUAAAAUUAGUAUAAGAAUUAUUAUAUAGUUAAUAUUAAAUUAUUUAUUGAUUAAGGUUUUUUUUCUUAAGGAACUCGGCAAAUUAAUUUUUGACUGUUUAUCAAAAACAUUGUAUUUUGAUUUAAUAAAAUAUUUAACCUGCUCAAUGUAAUUAUAAAUUGCUGUGGUAUUUUGACUAUACGAAGGUAUUGAAAUAAGGUUUUAAAUGGAUGCUAAGAGAAUGGUUGAACAAAGAUUAUCUUUCUUAAGAAAAUUAAUAGAAGUUGGUUUUUAUGUGAAAAAACUUAAAUGUUUGUUUGGGACAAGAAGACCCUAUGAAUUUUUAUUUUAAUUAUAUAAAUAUUUAUAAAAUUAAAAUUUAAUUGGGGUGAUUUUUAAAGAUUAAUAAACUUUAAGAAUAUUAAAUGAUCCGUUAGUAACGAUUAAGUGAAAAAAAUACUCUAGGGAUAACAGCGUAAUAAUUUUGGAUAGUUCUUAUUGAUAAAAUUGAUUGCGACCUCGAUGUUGGAUUAAGAUUCUUUUUUAAUGGAGAAGUUAAAAGAAGAAGUUUGCUCAACUUGUAAUAUCUUACAUGAUCUGAGUUCAGACCGGCGUGAGCCAGGUUGGUUUCUAUCUAAAUAUUUGUAAUAUAUUAUAUUAGUACGAAAGGAAUAUAUAAUGAAGUUUAACUUAAUUAAAAAGUUUUUUGAUUUUA